ACGCACGCUGGCGGCGUGCUUAACACCUGCAAGUCGAACGGAAAGGCCCCUUUGGGGGUACUCGAGUGGCGAACGGGUGAGUAACACGUGAGUAACCUGCCCUUGACUUCGGGAUAACUUCAGGAAACUGGGGCUAAUACCGGAUAGGAAUCCUUGCUGCAUGGUGGGGGUUGGAAAGCUUCGGCGGUUUUGGAUGGACUCGCGGCUUAUCAGCUUGUUGGUGGGGUAGUGGCUUACCAAGGCUUUGACGGGUAGCCGGCCUGAGAGGGCGACCGGCCACAUUGGGACUGAGAUACGGCCCAGACUCCUACGGGAGGCAGCAGUGGGGAAUAUUGCACAAUGGGCGGAAGCCUGAUGCAGCAACGCCGCGUGCGGGAUGACGGCCUUCGGGUUGUAAACCGCUUUCAGCAGGGGCGAAGCUUGUGGUGACGGUACCUGCAGAAGAAGCACCGGCUAACUACGUG
Molecule: ribosomal RNA, 464 nt
Filed under: uncultured bacterium
Lineage: Bacteria
Description: partial 16S ribosomal RNA
Rfam family: Bacterial small subunit ribosomal RNA
Source: RNAcentral